AUCGGGGUUGCGGACAGUGCCUGGUGGGUAGUUUGACUGGGGCGGUCUCCUCCCAAAGAGUAACGGAGGAGCACGAAGGUGGGCUAAUCACGGUUGGACAUCGUGAGGUUAGUGCAAUGGCAUAAGCCCGCUUGACUGCGAGAAUGACAAUUCGAGCAGGUGCGAAAGCAGGUCAUAGUGAUCCGGUGGUUCUGAAUGGAAGGGCCAUCGCUCAACGGAUAAAAGGUACUCCGGGGAUAACAGGCUGAUACCGCCCAAGAGUUCAUAUCGACGGCGGUGUUUGGCACCUCGAUGUCGGCUCAUCACAUCCUGGGGCUGAAGUCGGUCCCAAGGGUAUGGCUGUUCGCCAUUUAAAGUGGUACGCGAGCUGGGUUUAGAACGUCGUGAGACAGUUCGGUCCCUAUCUGCCGUGGGCGUUGGAAGAUUGAAGGGGGCUGCUCCUAGUACGAGAGGACCGGAGUGGACGAACCUCUGGUGUUCGGGUUGUGUCGCCAGACGCAUUGCCCGGUAGCUAAGUUCGGAAUCGAUAACCGCUGAAAGCAUCUAAGCGGGAAGCGAGCCCUGAGAUGAGUCUUCCCUGAUACUUUAAGUAUCCUAAAGGGUUGU
Molecule: ribosomal RNA, 606 nt
Filed under: Vibrio parahaemolyticus
Lineage: Bacteria; Pseudomonadati; Pseudomonadota; Gammaproteobacteria; Vibrionales; Vibrionaceae
Description: partial 23S ribosomal RNA
Rfam family: Bacterial large subunit ribosomal RNA
Source: RNAcentral